GUUUGAUCCCUGGCUCAGAUUGAACGCUGGCGGCAGGCCUAACACAUGCAAGUCGAGCGGUAGAGAGAAGCUUGCUUCUCUUGAGAGCGGCGGACGGGUGAGUAAUGCCUAGGAAUCUGCCUGGUAGUGGGGGAUAACGUUCGGAAACGGACGCUAAUACCGCAUACGUCCUACGGGAGAAAGCAGGGGACCUUCGGGCCUUGCGCUAUCAGAUGAGCCUAGGUCGGAUUAGCUAGUUGGUGGGGUAAUGGCUCACCAAGGCGACGAUCCGUAACUGGUCUGAGAGGAUGAUCAGUCACACUGGAACUGAGACACGGUCCAGACUCCUACGGGAGGCAGCAGUGGGGAAUAUUGGACAAUGGGCGAAAGCCUGAUCCAGCCAUGCCGCGUGUGUGAAGAAGGUCUUCGGAUUGUAAAGCACUUUAAGUUGGGAGGAAGGGUUGUAGAUUAAUACUCUGCAAUUUUGACGUUACCGACAGAAUAAGCACCGGCUAACUCUGUGCCAGCAGCCGCGGUAAU
This 519-nucleotide ribosomal RNA is filed under the name Pseudomonas synxantha. RNAcentral describes it as "bacterial SSU rRNA". It matches the Rfam family "Bacterial small subunit ribosomal RNA", at positions 11 to 524 of the family's 1533-position model. Lineage: Bacteria; Pseudomonadati; Pseudomonadota; Gammaproteobacteria; Pseudomonadales; Pseudomonadaceae. The record is from RNAcentral.